CCAAGGCAACGAUGCGUAGCCGACCUGAGAGGGUGAUCGGCCACACUGGGACUGAGACACGGCCCAGACUCCUACGGGAGGCAGCAGUAGGGAAUCUUCCGCAAUGGACGAAAGUCUGACGGAGCAACGCCGCGUGAGUGAUGAAGGUUUUCGGAUCGUAAAGCUCUGUUGUUAGGGAAGAACAAGUACCGUUCGAAUAGGGCGGUACCUUGACGGUACCUAACCAGAAAGCCACGGCUAACUACGUGCCAGCAGCCGCGGUAAUACGUAGGUGGCAAGCGUUGUCCGGAAUUAUUGGGCGUAAAGGGCUCGCAGGCGGUUUCUUAAGUCUGAUGUGAAAGCCCCCGGCUCAACCGGGGAGGGUCAUUGGAAACUGGGGAACUUGAGUGCAGAAGAGGAGAGUGGAAUUCCACGUGUAGCGGUGAAAUGCGUAGAGAUGUGGAGGAACACCAGUGGCGAAGGCGACUCUCUGGUCUGUAACUGACGCUGAGGAGCGAAAGCGUGGGGAGCGAACAGGAUUAGAUACCCUGGUAGUCCACGCCGUAAACGAUGAGUG
RNAcentral lists this ribosomal RNA (556 nucleotides) under Bacillus subtilis. Its description in RNAcentral is "bacterial SSU rRNA". It matches the Rfam family "Bacterial small subunit ribosomal RNA", at positions 268 to 815 of the family's 1533-position model. Lineage: Bacteria; Bacillati; Bacillota; Bacilli; Caryophanales; Bacillaceae. The record is from RNAcentral.